AGGGCUCGCAGGCGGUUUUUUAAGUCUGAAUGUGAAAAGCCCCCGGCUUAACCGGGGAGGGUCAUUGGAAACUGGGGAACUUGAGUGCAGAAGAGGAGAGUGGAAUUUCCACGUGUAGCGGUGAAAUGCGUAGAGAUGUGGAGGAACACCAGUGGCGAAGGCGACUCUCUGGUCUGUAACUGACGCUGAGGAGCGAAAGCGUGGGGAGCGAACAGGAUUAGAUACCCUGGUAGUCCACGCCGUAAACGAUGAGUGCUAAGUGUUAGGGGGUUUCCGCCCCUUAGUGCUGCAGCUAACGCAUUAAGCACUCCGCCUGGGGAGUACGGUCGCAAGACUGAAACUCAAAGGAAUUGACGGGGGCCCGCACAAGCGGUGGAGCAUGUGGUUUAAUUCGAAGCAACGCGAAGAACCUUACCAGGUCUUGACAUCCUCUGACACUCCUAGAGAUAGGACGUCCCCUUCGGGGGCAGAGUGACAGGUGGUGCAUGGUUGUCGUCAGCUCGUGUCGUGAGAUGUUGGGUUAAGUCCCGCAACGAGCGCAACCCUUGAUCUUAGUUGCCAGCAUUCAGUUGGGCACUCUAAGGUGACUGCCGGUGACAAACCGGAGGAAGGUGGGGAUGACAUCAAAUCAUCAUGCCCCUUAUGACCUGGGCUACACACGUGCUACAAUGGACAGAACAAAGGGCAGCGAAAC
Molecule: ribosomal RNA, 694 nt
Filed under: Bacillus subtilis
Lineage: Bacteria; Bacillati; Bacillota; Bacilli; Caryophanales; Bacillaceae
Description: bacterial SSU rRNA
Rfam family: Bacterial small subunit ribosomal RNA
Source: RNAcentral